GACGAACGCUGGCGGCGUGCCUAACACAUGCAAGUCGAGCGGGGAAAAUUGGAAAGCUUGCUUUUCGGUUUUUCUAGCGGCGGACGGGUGAGUAACGCGUGAGCAAUCUGUCUCAAACAGGGGGAUAACCCAGAGAAAUUUGGACUAAUACCCCAUAUUAUUAUUGAGCUGCAUGGUUUGAUAAUGAAAGACGCGAGUUGGUUAUAGAUGGGCAUGCGUGACAUUAGCUAGUUGGUAAGGUAACGGCUUACCAAGGCUACGAUGUCUAGGGGAACUGAGAGGUUAAUCCCCCACACUGGUACUGAGACACGGACCAGACUCCUACGGGAGGCAGCAGUGGGGAAUAUUGCACAAUGGGGGGAAACCCUGAUGCAGCGACGCCGCGUGAGGGAAGAAGGUUUUCGGAUUGUAAACCUCUGUCCUUGGUGACGAAACUGACGGUAGCCAAGGAGGAAGCCACGGCUAACUACGUG
RNAcentral lists this ribosomal RNA (473 nucleotides) under uncultured bacterium. Its description in RNAcentral is "bacterial SSU rRNA". It matches the Rfam family "Bacterial small subunit ribosomal RNA", at positions 28 to 507 of the family's 1533-position model. The record is from RNAcentral.